RNAcentral lists this unclassified non-coding RNA (353 nucleotides) under soil metagenome. RNAcentral's name for it is "partial contains 5.8S ribosomal RNA, internal transcribed spacer 2, and large subunit ribosomal RNA". The stretch from base 1 to 120 matches the Rfam family "5.8S ribosomal RNA", at positions 35 to 154 of the family's 154-position model. The record is from RNAcentral.
GAUGAAGAACGUAGCGAAAUGCGAUAAGUAGUGUGAAUUGCAGAAUUCAGUGAAUCAUCGAAUCUUUGAACGCACAUUGCGCCUUCUGGUAUUCCGGGAGGCAUGCCUGUUCGAGCGUCAUCAAAACAUUUCAAGGAUGAAUUUAUUCUUUUCUUGGUUUUGGAAUUGGAGUUGCUUGCAUCUCCCUUUCGAAAUUCAAUGGCGAAGUAGGCUGUUACAAUUAGCGUAGUAAUCAACAUUAUGUUUCGCAAUUGUGUUCGACCGCUUCUGCCGCUAAUCCCCAUAUCUAUGAAUUUGACCUCGGAUCAGGUAGGGAUACCCGCUGAACUUAAGCAUAUCAAUAAGCGGAGGGA